AACAAACACACUGUUCCGUCGCCACGCAGACGGAGCAUCGUCCUUCUACCGACGCGGGGACACUAGCGGGGCUGUAUAAGCGUUAAUCCGGGGAGGAUGUGUUGUCUGCCGGCAGAGCAGACUUUGCAGGCGCCCAGCGAGCCUCUCUGCGCGCAAGGAUGUUCGCCGCAGUCGCUCGCCCGCCGCCUGCGAUGGAUCGGAGAUCAGCUGGAGAAAAAAUGGGCUGCGAAUGACAAACGCUCCGUCGAGAACACCGCGAGGACCGGCAAUAUUUCCGUCAAAGGCAUUCACAUUGUGUGCACAGCAAUACAAGUGACGGUUCUCAUACUCUUUGUGGGAAAGCGACAUCUGUAGGCGCGAGGGACGCUCCGACGAAGGCUGCAACAGAUGGGAGUCAGAACCACGAGUGAUGAGUGCGAAGACCUGUUGAAAGCUGUUGGGAGAAACGAUGCAAGUGUUCUGCAGACACUGUAAGCUUGGCAUGGGUGUAGUUGCUCAACAUUUUCCUGAUCGCUAUGUGUACUUCAUAGCAUUUGGUACAGAGUUUCAAUGGAAAUACUAAACACACUGUUGUAUCGUUGUCACUCCUCUUCACCUAUGAAGAACACUACUUCGUCAUAUAAUUCCAUUACUGAAGCUCAAAUACACCAGCUGUGACUUGAUGUCAUUUGGUAUGUGUUUGUAUUGGUAAGAUACGUUAAGGUCAAAUGUAGUCAAAGCCACCAGUGUCUCACUGGGGACACUAAUAACACUCCACUGAUGUCACUGUCCCCUGGUGUUGCAGGGGAAAAUGUUAGCAUUAUGGCAAUAGGAGUCUUGGCUCAAUCUCCACGACCUUAGAACUGAUUUCUAUUUAUUACUAAAGGUUAUGCAAAAGCAUGAAAAAAAAAACAAAACUAAAUUGUCUAAAUUGUACAAUGUCAUAACAUUUUAAGACUGCAGAGGAGGACUGCCUAAAGGACUAUUACCAAAAUCUUCUCCUCUGCAUAUUGCACUGCAACUUUUUGUAAUAAGCUAUUAUAAAUGACUGCUGACCAAGUCUGAACUGUACGGUUUUUCUUUUUGUUCUUGUUUCUAAGUUACUUCUGAUCACGUUCUGUGACAUUAUUUAUGAUGCAUAUUUGUAUGGUAGAACUGUUUGUAUUUAAACCUACAGUAGGUGUUUACAAAUCAAGACAAAUCUUUUCUAGAGCUUUUUAUAAAGGGCUUUGACUUGAUUGGUGGUUGCAGUGUUAAUGUAGAAAACUUCUCUAUGAAAUUUCAUGCAUAAUGUGAAUCUAAGGGCAUGCUACUGAUGUUUACAUAAGCUACAAUCUUUUAUAUAUAUUGAAUUAUGAACAUGGCUAGCAUAACUGUUUUUAUUAAAUGUGUUUUACCUCUGCUAUUUUGAUAUUGUGAUUUGUCAUUUAUGAAAAUAAAAAGGAUAAAUUUAUCAAAAGUGAGCCAUUUACUCAAAAAAAACGUAGUUUUCUUUUAAUAGCAGAAGUGAAAGUAUGAUACAUUGUCAUACAACUCUACUCAGACAGCAUUACAAUGACAUCGAACUCAUUUUGACCCAAAAGGCUCCUGGUUCUGGUGCAGUUCAGCAAAGGGCAACACUGUAUAACAGAGCCCCUCACUGAAGGCAGUGCAUUACGUCAGUGACAUACUGGCAGCACGACUAAGCAAUGUCAUCUGCGAUGCAAACACAGAUGUGGCUGGAGAAUCUUUAGGAAGUCCAUGUUACUCUACAGCACUUUCCAGACUAUUUUGACAUACUGAAAAAUAACGGCAAAUCUUGCUCCAACACCCCUGUACACUCACGCUGCCUCGAGAUGGACACAAAGCGUUCAGAACAGCGUUCCUGCCAGCCGGAAACCCUGGAGCAGUGGGGCGCCCAGCGCCAGAGCCUAGCUCACGCUGCCAGGCCA
Electrophorus electricus (electric eel) is the source of this 1910-nucleotide non-coding RNA. The record is from RefSeq and is a predicted model, not a curated record. Lineage: Eukaryota; Metazoa; Chordata; Actinopteri; Gymnotiformes; Gymnotidae.